Halichondria panicea is the source of this 13855-nucleotide long non-coding RNA. RefSeq lists it as uncharacterized. The transcript is spliced from 11 exons. Lineage: Eukaryota; Metazoa; Porifera; Demospongiae; Suberitida; Halichondriidae. The record is from RefSeq and is a predicted model, not a curated record.
AUUGCUUCCGUUUCGUACUAAUGAACUAAACCACCCGUUCCAAAUGCGUUUUUACGCAAUCGUUUAAACGUGCGUUUUGAAUAACGGAAAGGGAACUUUUUAUUGAUGGGUACCAGGGAGAAAGAAUUUACUUGGCGCUCAAUUACAUGUACAUACGUGUAAAAAUAAUAUUUUGUACACUGGCAUAGUGUACGUGUAUAUUUAAUGUUUGACGUUAAUUUUUAUUACAGGUUGGUGGAAGAGAACCCUAUCCGAAAAUUUAAUGGCAUGCUCGAGUGGAGGGUUACUCCUAGAUACAGACUGUUAUUUUAUGGACAUGAGCAACUCAGAGAAGGAAAGGAGACUGACUAACAUCAGGGCAUUUGCUAGUCAUAGUUAUGCAAAGGUCCCUUGUGAGAGCAAUGAGGAGGAUCUUGAUCCGCCACCAACCAAGAAAAAAACAGAGGUGAGUGCGUGAGUCCGUUUUGCAUGCUUGUUCCCCCCCAUAGACAGCCGGCGACGACCCAGAAGCGACAGCCAGCGAGCAGCCAGCGGGCAACGACCCAGAAGUGACAGUCAGUGGACUAUACCUGUAAGGCAAUGGAACUACAUUCAAGCCAAGAUGUUGCGUGAUAUUCUCAAGCACCCUGAAGUUGAGAGAUUGUUGCCUCAAAUGCAAUGAGCUAAAUGAUCCAACUUUUGCUUCGAUUCAUAUUUCUGAAGUUUUAAACCCAUCGUCAGAUUAUUGGGUCCAACAAACUUCUAUGAGGGCAUCCAAUAGUACAAGUAUAUCGUGGAAUGUGAUAUAGCUCAAGUAAUGUUGUUGGGAAAAAGGUGCGAAGAGUUGAGUAUGUUGCAAGUAAAGAUGAUUAACGUUUUGGCAUACUGGAAAAACCGUUUGGAGCAACUCACUACAUACUUAGACGACAAUCUGUGUAUGCGGAAAACCAUCAGCAGAGGAGGGUUAACUCUGGAUGAAUUACAGACGGCUACUACUGAAGUGGAAAUGAUUGUCAACUCCCGUCCGCUCACCUAUAUUUCCAUGGACAGCAUCCAAGAAGCAGUUACUCCCUCUCAUCUGAUGACUGGUCGGAGACUGAUGAGCCUACCCGACGGUCCCUACAACGAAGAGAAUUGUACUUGUCGAAUGCCUGACCGUAAAGAUGUGCCAAUGGUAGAAUGUUUUGGUUGCAGCUCAUGGUUCCAUUUUGCUAGUCGAUCAUGAUAAAAACUCUAUUUUUUCUGCACAAUGGCCUCUUUGAGUGCAUUUUUUGCUCACAGCAAAAACCAUCCCUCCUUACUGGGAUCAAGCUAGGAACAUAUUUCGACAGGCUAUAUCGUCUGAAAAAGGCAUACACAGAGGUCAUGCAAAGAGACUUCAAGAACGAUCUUGCAAAAACUUUUAUAGAGAAGUUUUUUGAUUUUCUAACAGUGGAUCAUGAGGAUUUUGAGACCUCUUCUUCUGCGAGUACGACGAAGAGCCCAGGGGUAUGAUGGAACUUCAUGGGAUCACAGAUGGGGCAAUAAUGAAAAACAACAACCAAGUAAUUAUUUCCGAGGGGAAGAGUAAAGCAGAUACUGAAAACUAUGUAAAAGGAGAAGGACAACUAAUAGUAGCGAUGCAGCUGUCUUGGAGUACAGAUGGAGAGAACUCACGAGUUUGGGUUAUCAAAGCAGUUGAUUUUUUCUUGCACGUACGACGUAACAUCAAGGCCCAACUUGCUGAUUAUCGGAUUCUUUUAAGUGCCUCGGACAGAAUUCAAAGAAUGUCGGUGGUGUAUUUGUUGAAAGUGAUGAUGAUGAUUUUCAAGCACAAGGUUGAGCAGCUUGUUGAUUCCUGGCAGACUACACGAAACUAAUAACGGUGAUAUUGAAGUUAUCGAGUACUUUAGAAAGGUUGAAGUGCCUGUCAUUCGUCAAAGAAUCUAGUGUGGUCCUUCUACUAGUGAGAGCUGUACUCAAGCAGAAGACGUACUCAAGCAGAAUAUGAACUACAAUCGAAGCCUGUAUUCAUUAGCCGAGUGCGUGAGUUGAUUACUAUUGAUUGGAAAAAUACAGCCUCAGGAAAAAUAUGUAAAACCCAUGUACAUUUUAAACAAAAAUUAAUUAAGCAGAAAGACAGUACAAGGCAAUCGGAAUCACAGGUGAGUGUUUUUUGUUUGCAUAGUUCACACAUGUCAUUAAUUCUAUUCCAAAUAGCAGUAUUGUCCUUUGUUUGAGCUAGGAUGUCAUAAUUAUGCUGAAAUUUUCUCCCAGGACCUAUACUCGAGCGCUACUUCUCUAGACAACGCCAUCGUGAAGAUAGCAAUUAAAAUCCAUGUUCAUUCCACCUAGUACGUCCUAGCUGUGUGUUUAUGUAAGCGUAAGUAUAAAAUUUUAGCUAUAUGUCUGCAAACCAGAGCAUAACCCUCAACAUGUUACUUGCAUAAUCUCACAACAUCUUGUAAUGUUGUAAAGCUUCGAUUUCAACUAUACCAAUAAAAUUUGGUAGGUGUUUUAAUUUGCAUCGCUGGUAUAGAGCCGGCAAGGUAUCUGGAGCAGUAGAUCCCUAUCGUAGUGAGCGAAAAGAGUGGAGUGAUGACAUAGACUUAUGGCCCAGUAGAAUAUGUUACUAUAAUGUGCACAACGAGUUCUCAAUGUGUUCGCAAGUUGGCAUACAUGGUAAAACCAAUCAUAGUCUGCAUGCUACUGGUGCCACAAGAUUGUUCGCUGCAAACAUUCAUCAUUACCAGUCCAUAUACUUGAGAUCAGCUAUUGACUUUAAAUCACGGAAAAAAGAUUGUGCUGCAUUGCAAAAUCCCCAUGGUUGAACAUAUUCGUAAGGCGGUAUUGAACGCAGCCAACCUGCUGCAGUCCUGCUUCGACUGCAGCAGGCCAAUAAUAAUAUGUAUAAACUAUAACAGACGUGACAGCUAGUGUUUGCUCUACCCAACCUCUUUUUUCGUCAAUUGCUAAAAAAUGAGGGACUUAACUCGUUUUUUGCUGUUGUUUUAUAACAUCACACUAUCCACUGUAUCUUUUGAUGUGCUGAUCGAUCGGUCCAAACAGUGCGGAACAUCACACUAUCCUUUGAUAUCACUGUAUCUUUUGAUGUCCUGAUCGAUCGGUCCCACGUUCUUCUUAAGCUACACUUUUUACUACAUGCCAUGAAUAAUCAAUGAGUCCAGUGAAAGCAUUAUGCUAUAUGAUUUGAAUGCAGAAUGUGUAUGUUGUACUUCUCACUUCAAGCAAAAAUAUUAAUAGACCAAUGUCGCAAAUGCUAAAAUUAGAGUUGCUGAUAUUGCUGAGUCCCAAUAUUCAGGUUGAUUAUAAUUAUGAGUCCUAUUCAUUGUUGCAUGUUUUGAACAAAAAUCAACCAAAACAGAAAAUUUAACGAGUUGGGUUUCCAAACACUUGCCAAUACAAAAAUAGUUGGUUUAAAAUCUAGUCCAACAAGCUUGGUACUCAGCGCACAUAUCCAAUAAAAUUAUGUAUAAUUAUACUUGUACACAUUGUUACAGGGUAAAUACAAUCUCUAUGAAAAACCAUAGGAGAAAUUAAAUAAAAAUGAAUUCUAAAUAAGUCAAAUCAAAAGACAAACUUGCUUCUACUGCAUGCUCCUCCAUACUUAAUAAUUAUUGUGAAGUUCAUUGAGGACAACCAAUUGUGUGCUGUUCCAAGAUCGGAGGAGAUUGUAAAGUCCUCACCAUGCAACUAUAGGGGUUCAGAAUGCGUUGCGAGAUAUGCUGGGAUCAGAUACGAAGCUGUUGUGGUUGCCACUGAUAAGUUGGUUGGAGACGCAAAAAAUUGAGACGCUGUUAAACAAAACAGAAUACAUUUGGGUUCACUUCCACAACUCAUUCCGGCUCCCAGCAACAACAACAUCGCCGGUCUACUGGACACAGCAUCUGUUAAUUCGCCCGAUUCCUGAUAUGUGAAGAAAUUGACAUUCCUCUGAGAUUGGAAAACAAUGUCUUUUACAUAUAAUUAUAUAAUGGCUUCAACAUCAGACCGUCUCGUGAAAUCACAACCAGAAAUUCUUUUCCUUUCUUUUUUUAUUCUUAUGAUCACACCUGCCUUUUAUUUAAAACAGGAAUUUUAUUUUAUAGAAGGAAAUGAAUACACUUUUUUAUUCCGUAUAAAUGCUUGUGGGCUGACGUUCGAGUAUGCAGCCUGACGAACUCAGUAUAAUAUAUACCCAUCUCAUUCACAGUUUGAAUAUAUUUACAGCAUGUUAAAUCAUUUCAUUUCCGAUUUGACGUACAGAACUUAGUAAACUUUUGACUGUGUUCAAGGCCCAAAAGCUUGCAGGGAUGCUACAAUGGGAAGAGAAAGCAAAAGAUUUUUCAGUAUAGAUACUAUACAUGUAUGUUAUUCCCAGAUUUCCAGCGAAAUUAGCAAAAAAGCCAGGUUCACGGGAAAAAAGCUGCAAGUGUAAGAGUAAGCACAUUCUUUCGUUAAGGUCCAUCUGUUAUUUCGUAUCAAUUUCAAUUUCGUUGCUGUAGUUCCUUUUGGUGGAUGAGACUCCAAUUAACAACUUGAUGAGUGGCUCAUCAGCUUUCUCUUGGAUACACAUACUUAUUAUAUAAUUUGAGGGUUGUGUCGUCUGUGUGGCUGGUGCGUCUAGCAAACAGAAAGGUCUAAUAAAAAGUCUUGUGGAAAAUAAUAACAUUAUUAUUGUGUUCUCAUUAACUUUAGGGAAUGUUUUGAAACUGCUGUUAUAUGUGAAAGUAUGUACAUUGUACGCGAGAGAGAGAGUUGUAAGAAUCGUGGCUAUCUUCGAACUAAAUCUGUUUCAAUAGUUGAGUGGUCACUCCGCCAAGGAAGAUUUUUGUUGGUCGUAAAUUUGGACUUGAAUAGAGCCUUAUCUGGUCUAUACCUAGGUAUUACAGGUAUUACAUCUUAGAUACUCUGAGCCGCUGUCCUCGAGAACAACCGUUCGUAAAUACCAUGUAUUCGAUAAUUGGUGGUAUACUCUAUAGCACUGUAUUACUAGAACCUUUGCGAAUGAGCCAAAUCAGCCAGAAAAUGUGACCCUUUGCGAUUUAACUAUUGCGCUCUGCCAAGGAUCGUGUGUAUUUACUAGUAAUAAUUUAGGUUUUGCAAUUUUAUUGUUGCGAAUUGAUCAACCCCCGCAAAGUCAUAAUUACGUUGAUGUAAAACAGUCUAGCAAAACAUUCUAGUAAUGCGGUACUUCAAAUGGAUUUCCAGGAACUUGAUAUACCGGUCUUUCAACACCAAACAAAAAUAGGACAAAAAAUAUGGCGCUUAUUGUGUUAGAACGUACAGCAAUAAUUGUACAUAGAAACUCGAUUUCAAUCUGCGAAAUAAUAACUGAAGAAUAUAAAUUCCAGAAUUUACUUGGCGCUCAAUUAAAUUACUUUUUGGACUUGGCGUUUCUAUUAUGCACCUAUCAAUGAUAUGCCCCACAACGUGGUGUAAUGUAUCAUUUGUGUACAUAGAUUGUCUGUGGACCAUCGACGAGCAUUAUAAAUGAGAACUCACCAUCCACCCCACCAAAUAGUAGUGAGGUGACAUUGAGUGGUGGACAACGUCAACUAAAAAUUAAUGUCUCGGAGUGGCUUUCGUUUAUAUUCCAGUAAUGACGACAAAACGGCAUCUACUAAUGAUUUAAGUGACAGCUACAAGCGUCGGAUUGCUAUAAUAUACAAAAAGAUGGCCUUAAAAGAAUUUGAAAAGAAAGUGAAUGAAUAUGCUAUAGAACUGGCCCUGAAUGAUACCAGUUUACUGAAGAAACAAGGCGAUCUGCUGGCUCUAGCGAGACAGAAGGUAGCAGACAGUGGUUAUGUAUUCAAAAAAGGCACAUCACGAUUGAAAGCAUACAGGGCACCUACUCCAAAAAGACCUAGAUACGACAAAAUUAUGCGAGAUGACUGAUGAGUCAAGUCUAUUGAAGAUGAACUUACCGAUGUAUCCAGAAUGAUGAUAUUUAAAGUUUGCCUCAAGCGGAAGCUGCAAAGAAUUAUAAGCUCUGUGAGCAAGUGACAGAAGAAAUAAUGAGUCUAAAGUGUAGGAAGCGUGAACUAUUAAACGAAAAGCAUUUAUUUUCACAAAAUAAAAAGCGGUGUCUAAAAAGAAAGAUAGCAAAUUCUUCUUGUGAUUUUCACCUAUUACCUCUGAGCUAAUUGCCACGAGUACAAUGGAUCGCGUAUUAAUCCCGUAAAUUGCGAUGAUUCACCACAUUCCAUUUCUUCUGAUUCAUCUUUAAACUAGUGAUGCCUUCCCGUGGCUCAUCCGAUGAUGCUGUGAGAAGGCAUAGUCUUAAUUUAGUGUAUCAAGAACAGAUUAAAUGCAAUUUAUGUAACAAACAGGAACAGGUUGUUUCAAGCAAUGUUUAUGUGACUCUAUUUCGAGGACUCUCGUUAACUGAUUAUAUACAAGCACACACACUUUAUUGUUCAAGUACUCAUCUCAACCGAGUUUAAAAUGCAGUAAAAUGCUAUAUGUUGCUUCAAAUGUGCUAAGAGAUGGCUCGUUUAAAGCCACACAAGUAUACAAAUCUGAUGUAGCAAUCCUACGCUUUUUGCAAAUGCCUUUAGUAGCAAUACGCAUAGGUACUCUUUUGAGUGGACAGCCUAAGUGGUUUAUGCUUGAAUUUGUAAAUGGAGUUGACUAUCCAAAGUUGCGAAUUCGUACCGCCGAACAAUUUCAAAACUGUUUUUUUCCUAUAUUCAUCUCGUAGCUAAAGUCAGACAGUUUAAAUGCAGUAAAAUGCUAUAUGUUGCUUCAAAUGUGCUAAGAGAUGGCUAUGUAGUGCUUUCAACCUCGUUUAAAGCCACGCAAGUAUACAAAUCUGAUGUAGCAAUCCUACACUUUUUGCAAAUGCCUUUAGUAUGCAAAUGCCUUUAGUAGCAAUACGCAUAGGUACUCUUUUGAGUGGACAGGCUAAGUGGUUUAUGCUCGAAUUUGUAAAUGGAAUUGACUAUCCAAAGUUUGCUUUCGAACCGUAAAAUCGAUCGAAUUCGUACCGCCGAACAAUUUAAAAACUGUUUUUUCCUAUAUUCAUCUCGUAGCUCAUUUUGCUGAAGCUGGUCUAUUGUUAGAGUCCGACAGUAAGAAGCCUAAUUCCAAAAAUUACUAAAACUGGCUGGAACAGACAAAGAUAGAGAGCUAAUUCGAUACUCUGUGUAUAAGAUGUCUGGAUUAGUACCAAGUAGAGCACGCAAAGAGUUUGAUUUUGAUUGCAUUGCAGCAAGGGCUUCUCGUGUAGAAGAAUGUAUUAAAGAAGCGCAAACUAUCCGGGAGUCCAUCGACAAGAUUGCUAUGAUCCGUGAUAAGGCUCUACUGAUUACAUUGGGUCUCCAGGACUGUGAACCCUGUCUAUCCGAUAAUGAAUCCAGCUGUGAUUCCAGUUGUGACUCAGAAGAUAGUGAAUCAGUUCCAAAUGUUGACCCAUCCAUACACAUACCUCCCCCUGAAACUCUUAUUGAAAUUCUUAAUACUGCUCAGUAUAAUUGGUUCGAAUUAUACAAAGUUCGAAAAUUGUUUGUGGUACUGAUUUCAGUGAAUUGUAUUCGAAAUCCUUAGGCUUACAAAUGAGCAUUCACCGAAGGAACCUGUUAGAAAGAUCAUUUGCUUCGUAUGAAGCUACCCUACCAGACUAUUCUCAAAUUCGUGAUGAAAACGCUCUUAAUGGUGCAACAGUGUCUGACUCUGAUUGUGAUGACUCAGAAGAUUAUGUCGGUGAUACAUGUUUGUGCAAGAGGAGACCCUUUACCAGACACUACAAAAGAAAAGGGAUCAGAGGGUUGCAACUUAUAAUGGAAAGGGUUUGUCCAUGGAGAUUUCUUUUAAAUGGGUGUGGUUCUCUUGGUUCAUGGUUUAACUGUACAAUCGGAAAAUGUGAAGAAACAUUACGAAUAAAAGGAAAUUCUCUAGUACAAAAGAUACGCAGAUUAAAAGCAAAAAAGAUAGCAGAGAGGAACUUUUUGAGUCGAAAAAGGAGUAAACGAGUAAAUUCUAUUUUGAAACGGUUUCCAGAUAUCGGAAAAGCCGUUGAAUCCCUUCGUUGCUGAUUCUAACAUUGGGGCAUGCUCACAUUUGACGGAAAUUUGAAACUUGAUAAAAAGGUAACAUAUGAGAAAAUACGCCAGCACCUACAAGAAAAAUACAACCGUCAUUUCGCUUCGAGCAAGAGCAAGUACUUGGUCAUCGUAUAUAAACAUCGCAACACUGCAUGUGAUUGUUUUAUUGGGUAUUACACCACAGGUGAACUUAGGCUGGUCGUACAAAUGUCUCAUGGAACUGUUAAAGGUACGCUAAAUACCUAUCUUCAACAGCUUGAGUCUGGAAUAAUUAAAUUGCCUUCGGAGCGCACUCUCACAGAUUACACCCACUGGACCACCCCACACUCUAGAGUACAAUAAAAUCAUGAGUUCGUUGAAGAAAUUCUGGAGAGCGAGCUGCUCUCUAAACCACACAAUGUUUCCCUGUCAUGGACGAGAUGAAAAUCAAGAACGACCUAGUGUUCAACAAACACAGCGGCCAACUAGGUAGUGUGAAUGCUGAUAUCAAGAAGGAUGGCAGUGCCAAGACCCUAGCUGACCACGCCUUCGUAUUCCUAGCAAGAGCUGUUUUCAAGCCAACCAUCGGUGAUUCCUGUGGCUCACUACUUCAGUACAUCCCUUUCUCAUCAUUCUAUAAUACUAUAUCCAUGCAAGUAUAUAUUUUAUAUCCUGUGCAUGUGCAUGCAUGCAUGGGUGUGUGCUACAACGUAAUUUGCAUCAGCUAUAAUUAUACACAUGCAGGCGAAAAAAAUCUUUCCCAUAGUUUGGGAAGUGAUCAAGAGUCUAGAGCUUUAUGGCAUACUAGUGACCUCCCUAACCAGUGAGGGUGCUAAACCGAACAGGAGGUUUUACCACCUGUGUCAGCCACAAGUAGAAACCUGCCCUAAAAACGUGUCAACCUACAGAGAGGACAAGGAUCACUACUUCUUCUCCGAUGCCCCUCACUUGCUCAAAACAACAAGGAACUGUUUCAGCAACUCUUUCUCGCAUUCAAGAAGUCGGUAUUAUAAUUAAUAACUAUACAUAAUUAUAAUAAUAUUAUAUAUAUCCGUUGCAUUGCUUUUCUAGAAAAAGGGACAAGUGAUAAGUUGGAAGUCAAUUGAGAGCCUGACAAAAACAUCCAUAAUACAACACACUUUUUAGUUGCUAAAUGAAUUGACAUGUACAGCAAACGCAGUUAUUAUCUCUAGAAAAGGUGGGCAUGCAUUUAAUGAGGUAAGCUGCAUGUCGACCUUUAGCCUGGACAUGUAAUUAAACUUACCUGGUGUCUUUGCUGUGACUUUGGAACAACGUCUGCAGCCAAGCGGGCAGCUCUGUUAGAAGAACAACGCUCAAAGAAACACUUACGACUAAAGAAAUACCAAGAGAAAAAAGAAGUUGGAGACUGCAAAAACCAGCCAACCAGCAGCCACACCAUUUCGUUCUACCCAAUCAAAAAGUCAGCAUGUAUGUGUAUGCUCUUAUCACGAGAAUGUUUGCCUUCUUCUUGUAGCUUUGAGAGAGCAUACAUCACUUUUAGUCAAGUUUCAAGAUUUCAAGUUACCUGUGAUCCUCAGGUAAAGAUUGCCUGAGCAGUCAAUGUACAGUCCGAAAGAUUAUAUUGACAAAUAUGCACCAAGCGAUGGUGUUGCUACAGUUCGAUAUCACCAAUGAAUGGCAAAGUAUUGAUGGCAAAGUAAUGACAGAGUCGAAAACGUUGAAGUCUUGGGGACAGAGGAGGACACCUACGCUGGGCCAUUUUUGCUCCACACAUAACGUUAAAUGCAGACAUUAUUUUAUGAAAUCAAAAUGCGAUAGCAAGAAUGUUGUUCUCCAAGUAGAAAAUGCAAGUAUAGCAAGAGAAAAAGCAAAUCAUUCACUGUCGCCAUUCCUUGCUCAGAAAUGGGCUGGUGCAUUAGCAGUGCCGAGAACACAUCAGACUCAUUGCGUACAAACCAGUGGCAGAGACAAACUAAUGGUUGCUGAUACCUCAGACGCAACGGAGUUUCGCAUUGUACGAACGAAGAAAGUUUCAAGAAGAACAAGAAUUAGAACAACAAGAAUCCGAUAAAAAUGUCGAUGACUCAGAAAAUACACUAACUGCUACUGAUGACGAAAAAAGUUCUAUACGAGAGUUGACGGACGGUCAGACAACAGUGGGUGGUAGUGAAGUACGAUGGCAUGGAUUUCUGGGAGAAAUAACAAUAGCAAGUACAAGCAUUAUGAUCACUAUACUUACACAAUAAUUAUCCAACUGCUUUUUUUGUAUUGAUAGGUCUUACGAUGUCCAUAUUAUCGUACUCUGGGUUUGUUGGCCACUUCCAACCAUUGCCACUCCUCAUGCAUGCAUUACAUUCACCUCAGACUUACGAAGUUAUGUCAUCGAUUUAAAUUGAUGACAUUUUAGGAGUACGUCCGCCACAAAAUCGGUGUAUGGUCCGUCACAAGGAAAAGUAGCCGAUCUUUUAGAGACGGUGGGCCACAUCCCCAAAGAAUUGUCCACAAUAUGAGAUGUUCACCAUUGGCACAAGAGUAUUUUUGACAUAAGGGUGUUCAGCCCCUUCACGCAGAGUCACCAAAAUAUUUCCCUCUGUCAAUGCUAUAAGAAGAACGAACAGAAGAGCACACAAUCAACGCAUCAGAGAAGUAGAGCACGGAUCCUUCUCCCCCCUUGUCUUUUCUACACCAGGAGGAAUGGGACCAAUAGCUAAGUUUGUAUACAAGAGAAUAGCCUCAAUGACAGUGCAUAAAUAUGGCAAUAGGUGUGUAUACUGAGCUAUUCACUGGUGCGCUCAGCAACUAUAUAUGCACCUAAGAGGAUCCACGGGCCUUACCACUGAAUUGAACCUAAACUUGAAAAUAUUCAUUAAUAACCAUAAAAUAUUUUGUUGUCUAUACAUGCAUUUUGUACACGUCUUUUGUUGUUCAACACACACAACAAUUAGAUUCGCACAAGAUGGCCUUGAAGUCCCUAAAAAUGCCAGGUCGGUUCAAAUGGCUCAUUAAUUCGCCAAAUAUUAAAGAGCACCUUCUAUACGUUCAUCCAAAGAAGACUGUAAAAUCUUUUACACAGCUGAAACAUUUAGUAGCUGCUCUCAAAUAGUAGCCUCAGUGAACUUUGACUCUAUCAUCGCACACGUGGCAGCACACGCUAUCUUGCCUGUUACCAUAGAUACUGCACUGUACUGCAGCACCUGUCCUAGAUCCAAGAUCCCAGUCUCAUGGCCGAGUGUGUAGAGCAAGAGGUUCCCGAAGUUUUAAGGCAUCUUUCAAACUAACAGUGGUUGAAUUUUCUGAGAAAAAUACUAACAGAGGAGCUGGUAUAAAGUUUAGUGUUGAUGAAAAGAGAGUACGAGAAUGGAAGAAACAGAAAGAACAGCUGCUUUGUACACCAGCUAAGAAGAAAGGCUGGAAGGAGGAGAUAGAAAAGUAGCUCUACCAGAGUUAGAAGAGGAAUUUGCAUCAUGGAUUGAGAAUCUUACUUCUCUAACCAGUAUUCGGAGAAAGGCUUUUGAGAUGACACACCAAAGAGGUGAGGAUAACUUUAUGCCAGUAAUGGAUGGCUACUCAAUUUCCUCGCUAGACAUCAGUUUUCUCUGAGAAGAAGAACAACAAGUACAUAUGGCUGAAAUACCGUUGAAAAAGAGAGUGUUGAAAAAGAGAGUGUUUUAUAUCCGUAUUAAGAAAGCUGCGACUAUGUGAAGUUAACUCAAAAAAUUGCCCACCCUCAUACAAUUUGAAAACCGUAAGCACUAGGUCCACACGGGGCGAUUAUUAUCGAGGAAAUACUCUUCUUGGCGCCAAAAGUUCUGAUGUGGAAGAAGCAGUGGGAAAAGUGCUACAAGGAAUGUCAAAUCUACACGCUCUAGGACACAUCCAUUCUAGUGAGUAAUUCGCAUGUACUACGUGAUUCUGGUGUACGUUUAUAGGAGUAAGUGUUAAGACUUGGAGAAAGAAGAAAGGUUUGUUAUUCUACCUACUGUGUAUUCAUGGUACAAUGCAGCUCCAGACAAACAAGCUCCUGUCGCUGUCGUUGAUCCUGAGAGCCCAGUGAAAAGCAGCAGGAAAAAUGUUACAAGCAACGUCAAAUCUACGCACUCUAGGACACGUGCUGCAUGUGCUGGAGAAUGUACGCAUAUCUCAUUUUUGUACAUCAUUCUGGUGUGCACCAAUAGGAGUGAGUUACAGACUGGGAGAAAGAAGACAGGUUUGCAUUGCGUACGGGCACCUACUAUAAUUAUAUUCAUGGUAAAACGCAGCUCCUGACGACCAAGCUCCUGUCGCUGUCGUUGACCCCGAAGAGCCCAGUGAAAAGCAGCAUAAAAGGUGCUACAACAUAUGAAAGGUACACUUACAAGUAUCCAAUGGAGAAUCAUUACACUUACAAGUAUCCAAUGGAGAAUCAUUGUUUGAUGACUCAGAAACAAAUUCCUGCUUUGGUAAAGCGUUUUCAAAAUAUCCUCUGAAAACCAAAGUGAAAAUGCUUGUUAUUGGUCACAGAGCCAAACAAAAUCAAGGAUAAACUGUGGCAACUUGAAAGAGCUUAUAGGUAUUUAUACACUCAAUGUGACGUAGCUGCCAUGAUAAUGUUUGUGAAUGGAGAUGAAUGUGCAUUUCACGAAUGUAUAGAGGAUGUUGUUGCUGAUGUCGAGUUUUACAUGUAAAACAUAAGCUCACGUGGUGUUUUAAUUAGUGACCUUUUGACAUGCUGCUAACUCACAAGGAAUGACUCAUCAAGUAAAUCUCCUCCCUCUCAUGUACCAUCUAGAACUGGCAGACAUCAUGUUCUACAUAAACUCUUGUAAAAACACUCUAAGAUACAACAUUCUGGAUUAUGUCACACCAACUACAGGUUACACCAGAUCCUCGGACAAUAAUAGACUAAAUGACACGUACUCACGUACAAACACUUUUUAUUACAAUCGUCUCCCAAGAUUAUGGAAUAGCCUGCCAACAAUCGACAUGAACCUCACAAGCAGCACUAUCAAAGCCACAUUGAAGAAUCUCUUCUUCUUCAGCAAUUUCGACUCCGACAUUCCUUGCACCUUCCAUUUCAAGUGCCCAUGCGUAACAUUCACAUCUAAUUGUUUAUUAUAUAAUUAUGUAACCUGUUUCUACAGGCUUGCCAUCAGCAUUCCUAGGUCAGUGCUACAUACAUCAUUUAUUUUGUCCUGUGCUGAAAAAUCAUAUUGAUGAUAUGGUAAACAUCGACCUCUUGAUAACGUCAACUCCAUUUCAUAACAUCGAUUUUGACACACAAAUGGCAAAACAUUGACCUUUAUGAUGCUAUUUGUACAGCUAGCAGCAAGCUAUUGUAAUGAUUGUAUCUGUUGUUUUGAUGUAUAAUUAUAUCAACUGUGUUCAAAGUCAAUGGUAAGGCAAUGAACUUUCAACUUUCAAUCACAUUUUAUUACAGAAUCACACAUGUUAACAAGAGCAUAACUGAUACAUACAAUUUUAUCUAGUAGAGUUUUUGACUGAUCCUGUAAAGUACUGAUCCUGUAAAGUAAUGAGAAAGUCAAUGGGUUGUGUAUCACCGAGAAGAGAACAUUUUUUUCUGAUAUUACCUAUUACUCGCUCCACAUGAAUUCGAACAUUAGCUAUUUUUCUUGUCUGUUCCACCUCAAUACCAGACAAUUGGCUUUUACCUCUAGUGAAAGCGGGCAUCUUGAGAGUUGAACAGUAUGCACCUACUGAGUCACUGAUAUCAAAUCCUCGAUCAGCCAAAAUCGUGUCUCCAGGUACAAGAUAAGUGAGCAGCGAACAGUGCUCAGUGAUAUACUUGUCACUUGCUCUCCCUCCCCAUCCAUCUGAAAUGUAGCUUACAGUCCCUUGCGGUGUUAUUCCAAUCAAAUAUUUCACUGUAUUAUGAUGUUUAUAUUGCGAAUAUG